UGAGGAAUAUUGGUCAAUGGGCGCAAGCCUGAACCAGCCAUGCCGCGUGCAGGAUGACGGUCCUAUGGAUUGUAAACUGCUUUUAUACNGGAAGAAACACUNGGACNUNUNCNAGCUUGACGGUACUGUANGAAUAAGGAUCGGCUAACUCCGUG
RNAcentral lists this ribosomal RNA (155 nucleotides) under uncultured bacterium. RNAcentral describes it as "partial 16S rRNA". It matches the Rfam family "Bacterial small subunit ribosomal RNA", at positions 355 to 507 of the family's 1533-position model. The record is from RNAcentral.